Dipodomys ordii (Ord's kangaroo rat) is the source of this 162-nucleotide small nuclear RNA. Its record names the gene U1. It matches the Rfam family "U1 spliceosomal RNA". From Rfam's summary of the family: U1 is a small nuclear RNA (snRNA) component of the spliceosome (involved in pre-mRNA splicing). Its 5' end forms complementary base pairs with the 5' splice junction, thus defining the 5' donor site of an intron. Lineage: Eukaryota; Metazoa; Chordata; Mammalia; Rodentia; Heteromyidae. The record is from Ensembl.
UUAUCUACAGCAGCUGAGACACCCUAAUUACCAAAAUGGUUUUCUCAGGGCAAAGCUUGUCCAUUGCAUUCCAAAUGUGCUGACUCCUGUGAUUUCUUAAAGUGUGGGAAAUUCCACUGCAUAAUGGGUGGCUGUGGGGGACUGCCCCUGAGCUCUCCCAUU